Molecule: long non-coding RNA, 3868 nt
Filed under: Marmota monax (woodchuck)
Lineage: Eukaryota; Metazoa; Chordata; Mammalia; Rodentia; Sciuridae
Source: RNAcentral
AGCUCCAGGUAUGAAGCUAAGGUUUGUCUUCUCCCAGGAGGUGGCAGCAGCAGCAGGCUCAGCCUGCUGGAGAAUCAGACAGAACUCAUCUGUUUUUCUGUUGGCAUCCAAACCUAAAAAUGCCUGGUUCCAGAGACCAUUUUAUCCCUUCUUCGGUUUGCUGAGCUUGGUUGGAGACAGGGCAUAGGGAAGGAGCUGGCACAGAUUCCUCUCUAUAAGUACCUAUUUUUUUUGGUAAAUAUUUUGAUCUGGGCUGUGACCUUGAAGCAUGUGUGAAGGAGGGUCAGGAAGUCUCUGGUCAGAGAAAAAGAGCUUCAGAGAGAAACAAACAGUAAUUGAAACACUUACAUCCGUACUAGUGUACAUCCAGAGGACACCAGCUUACUGUUUGGUGCCACAUACAAAAAAAUAUAGACUCUGACCUCUUCCCAGCUACCAGCCAGCUGACCUUGUCAUUGAAUCUGUCGGAGCUGCAAUAUCCUUGUCCACCUACGGGUUUCUGAUGAGAAUAUUAGCAUAGGAAAUAUGCUGGUUAAAAAAAAGAGAAUUAAGGACCUGGGUUCCAGACUCAGAUCUCCCAGUGUGGAUCAGGAGAUCCUAAAGCACCUGCUAAUUCUUUUCUUUCCUUCUUCUUCUUUUUUUUUUUUUUUUUGGUAUCAGUAUUGAACCUAGGGGGCACUUAACCAUUGAGCAACAUCCCCACUCCCUUUUUAUAUUUUAUUUAGAGACAGGGUCUCACUGAGGUGCUUAGGCCUUGCUAAAUUACUGAGACUGCCUCCUGCCCCAGCCUCCCCGGUUGCUGGGAUUACAGGCAUGCAGCAGCACCUGCUAAUUCUUAAUUUAUAAGUUACUGCACCUUUAUUUUCUGGAUUAAGUGGGGCUGGGUCUUCACCCUUUCAGUAUUUUUAAAAUCUCAGACACAACAAACCUUUGCUGGUUCCAAGUUAAUUCCAGUUGAGCACAAACCCUAGUUUGGCAGAUUCUGCCAGCUGCAUAGGAGGUGGGCAGAAAUCCCAGGAAACGUCUGGACACCACACAGCUAUGGAUGAACUGUCAGCUGCUAGGUGCUACUUUGUAAAUUACCCCAUCUAAAUGAAGCUAACAAAAUGAUAUUUCAAAAGAGCAAUUAACACUGAUUCCUAGUGUAUUUGAAAUUAAAAGGCCUUUGGGGAAGAGUGACAUUGGCUCUAAAAAAAAAAGAGUAUCCCAGGCCUCUGGGUAGAAAUGUUUAGUUUAAGGAGAUUGUUUAGUUGGGACCUUUCUAUGCUUUUCUUCCAUCACCACAGCCAGAGGGUCAGCCUGGUCUUUGUGAAGAAUAAGGUAAAACUAGUUCCUCUUUUCCCCCCACUACUUCAUCCUGUUUGCUCUGAUUCAUGUUGCUUGCUUCAAACUCCCAUCUAUUAAUUCAAUAAACACUUAUUAGGCACCUCCCAUUUCCCAGGUUCUGGGAAUAUACCUGGCUACUAAGGAGGUUAGGUGAAUAGUCAGAUACUAAAAGAAGUAAUAUAUAUUCAGAAGGGGAUGGCAAAAAAAAAAAAACCAUAAUAUUAGUGGUUGUAGAAGUAGCAUUAUCCUUGUAAGUACAGAGGCUGAAUAUAAGCUGAAUGACAGCUAUCUCUAUGAUAUAGUAGAAUCAUCUAGAAAUAAUCCCAUAGUCCUACCAGGUUUUUCCCCUGUGGGUUUGUAAAGGUAAUCUUUUCUUUUCUUUCUUUCUUUUUUUUUCCCCCAAAUCCAAGGUGUCAGAAUCCCUUCUGGAUUAGGAGCUUUGGCUCCCAAAAGCCACUGUAAAUGGAAACAUGAAUAUAUUACCUGGCAUGAAAGGACCAGACUAACUGGGAAAGCUUCCUCCUCUACCUGUUCCCUGUAAGAAUAUUAGUACAGGUGAUAGGCAGGUUAAAUGUCUCGGUGUUACUAACCACAGGGAACUGUAGAGCGACAGAGAUAAGAGAGCUCGGUGAUGAUAGCAGAUUCCAAACAGCUCCACACUUGAACUGGGAACCUAGAAGGCAAAUCAGGCAGCAAGGGGACACAGAGCUGCCCAGGUCAGCAAGAGAUGAGCAAGAAGACUACAGCAAACAAGCAAAAGGGAAGCAAACCAUGUCUCCUGAUUCUUCCACAUGCGAGAUCACUCUGAGGUCAAAUGAAAUUUGCCAUCAAAAAUAUACCAGAUGCCCUCAUGUUGUUGGAAUCAAAUCAUUUCUCAAAUGCAAAUUUUUAUAGAGGGCUUUUUUAUCAUGUUGAUAAUUUUAAUUUAUUUUCUACGUGUACAUUUUCGAAUAAGUUCUAAAUGUCCCAUUCUUCCCAGCUACACAACCAAUUAAUAGCAAGGCAGUUACUAAAUACAUAGCACAAAGUUUGAGAAGCUCUGACCUUUGGCUUAAUUUUAUCCAACUUAAUAUUUGGGUUACUGCAUUCAUAGGCCAAAAACUAGCCAGCAUUACAAUGGAAUUCUCUGGAGAGCACAUUCAAUAGUGAAGCCCGGAAGUAACAGUUCUCACUCUUAGCCCAGCAUUGGAAUCAACUCCCACAUCACACCCCAAACCAAUUUCAUAUUAGAGGUAGGGCUUAGGCCUUGAUGUAUUGUUUUGAACAUCCUCUAAAUACUUCCAUGUACAGCCAAGGCUGAGAAUCUUCCUGCCUUAGAAUGAGCAGACAGGAAGCUGCUAGUUGCUUCUUCCAUCAGGAUUCUUCCAUUAUCAGUUUCUCCCAAGGAGCCAGCAUCAGGAAACCAGGAUGUCCAGCUUGGACAUCACUUUCAAAGGUGUCCAUGUCGACUUUUCCGCCUCAUUCACCAGCUCUACAGUGACAUAAAGGGUUGUGAACAGGAGUUCAUCGUGUUUCAGAGAGAACAAUCGCCAUGCUCCAGGGAUCCCACACGGUCUUCAAAGCAAACAAGUACUUAAAAAAAGAAAUCCUCCAUGCGUCUCUGUCUUUUCCCUCUCCUCCUCUGUACCCAUCUUUCUCCUCCCCCAUCUCUUCCUACCCGGCUGUCUCCUUCACCUGCUCUGGAGGCUCAUCACUGUCCUUCUGUGUCCUUCCUCUCACUCCUGGUUCAUCCUCCACUGCUAUCUGGGCCUCCCUGUUCUUUCUGUAUCUGUCUCGGUUUCUUUUACUCUCUAUUCUCUUCCCACAGCACACAACUUUCUUCUCUAUUUUAUCAUCUUUCCCUUACAGCUCCUUAAUUAACACAGAAAAAAGGCCUUGGCAGAUAUUUAUAAUUAUUAAGCUAUUUUGUUAAUUUUAAAAGCAGAUAAGUACUGACAAUGUAUUUCACUCAUCAAAGAGAUAAAAAAUGCUCAUAAAAUACAAACCAUAAUGUGUGUGUGUGUGUGUGUAUUUUUUUUUUCCAGUACUGGGAGUAGAACCCAUAGCCUCACACAGGCUAGGCAAGCAAUCUACCACUGAGCCACAUUUCCAGCCCUAUAAUAAUUAUUUUAAUAACUUCCUAUAUUGGCCCUAGGUUACUUUUUUCAUGUAGUUCAUUGACCCUCAAUAGAAAAAUGAUUCUCUGUUCUCCAAUAAUUCUGACAGCAGCAGCUGACAUCAAUGUAGAAAGAGCAACAAGCUAAAAACAGUAGUUGAGUGCAUACACCCUGAAUUGCAUAUUCAGUUGCAAAAUCAUCAUCAUUAUUAUUGUAAUUACAGAGGGGAGGCAUUUCAAUAAUUGUUCAAAGUGUCUUCUUGAGGAAAUAACUAAAUCAGGGCCAGCUGUCACAAACCAAUCUACAAUAAUGAUCCCCGUAUGUGCAUCUUCAGUAUUCAUAGCAACGCUACAAUAACAGAUUUGUACAUUCAUCUAAUGUCCCUAAACAACCGAAAAAAUAGCAAACUAUGAUCAGAUCUGAUGUCUCACUUGGUAGUUGACCUA